Long non-coding RNA from Xiphophorus maculatus (southern platyfish), 1053 nucleotides. RefSeq lists it as uncharacterized. The transcript is spliced from 4 exons. NCBI's taxonomy places the organism in Eukaryota, Metazoa, Chordata, Actinopteri, Cyprinodontiformes, Poeciliidae. The record is from RefSeq and is a predicted model, not a curated record.
UAGAGAGAAAACCACUUUCCAGCGCAGAAGUGGUUUGUUACGAAGUUUGUUACAAACUCCGGGUUUUAAGCUGCUUUCACACCUCAACUGUUUCUCUCCAUUUCUAUUUAAGAACUUCAUCUCAACUGAACAUCACAGAACAAGAAAUGGAUUCUUCAGAUUUUGUUUACGUGAUGGUUUGGAUCAACAUCCGUGUCUGCAUCCCAUUCACCUUGAUAGUUUUUGCUCUGGGUUGUGUAGUCAGAUUGGAUGGUUUUCCUGUCACCUUCUACAUGAACCUUCUCGUCUCCAACCUGAUCCAACUCGGUGGUUUGGUUGCUUUAAUGGUGAAGAUGAAUGAAAAUAAUUUCCAUCUAAUCUGCUUCGUUGUCGUCGGCUGUGGUGCUUUGGCCAGUAUUUGUUUCAGGACGGUCAUUGCUCUGGAAAGGUAUUUUCUCAUCUCCUGGCCACAGCUGCUUUUCAUCAGACAGACCAAAGGUUACGUGAUAUUUUGUGUUUUGAUCUGGCUGUUUGCGAUUUUUCUUUUUCCUCUUUUCAUAAUGUAUUCACAGUAUAUAUUCUUUGUGGUGUUUCCCUUGAUCCCAACUCCUGUCUUCUUCUUCUGUGUGGCUAAAACCCCAAAAUUCCUGCCUGCAGCCACUUCCCUAACCACAGAAGAAAAACGUAGGAUUGUGGCAACUUUGAUUCUGUUGCUGAUUGUUCACAUAUUCAUGAUCCUCCCGCUGAGUGUGUGUUAUAUUAAUCCAUAUUUCCAUGAAACCUAUUAUGUGAAAUUUCACAGCUCACUGAUCUUGUUUCUCUUCAGUCCCUUCAUGGAUUUGAUUCUGUUCGUUUUCAUGUGUAAAGGAUUAGUUGACAAGCUGUUGAUGUGUUUCAGCUGCCACAGUUGUAGCAGAUGAAACACAUCAAGAGUUUAUGACUCUACAUUAUUUCAGUUUUCAAGUCUUCCACCAAACACAAGUAUUGCAACUUUAUAUCAAUAUGCUUAACUGAUUUAAACUUAGCACAAAAAGUAAAGAAAUGUGUGUUUGGUAGAUUUUUUUCUGUGCUUCA